Molecule: ribosomal RNA, 235 nt
Filed under: Salinivibrio kushneri
Lineage: Bacteria; Pseudomonadati; Pseudomonadota; Gammaproteobacteria; Vibrionales; Vibrionaceae
Description: partial 23S ribosomal RNA
Rfam family: Bacterial large subunit ribosomal RNA
Source: RNAcentral
UGUUCGGGUUGUGUCGCCAGACGCAUUGCCCGGUAGCUAAGUUCGGCACAGAUAAGCGCUGAAAGCAUCUAAGCGCGAAGCUGGCCCCGAGAUGAGUCAUCCCUAGAGCCUCGAGCUCUCUAAAGGGUUGUUCUAGACGAGAACGUUGAUAGGCAGGGUGUGUAAGCGCUGUGAGGCGUUGAGCUAACCUGUACUAAUGGCCCGUGAGGCUUAACCAUACAACACCCAAGSGGUU